This 420-nucleotide ribosomal RNA is filed under the name Triticum aestivum (bread wheat). RNAcentral's name for it is "partial small subunit ribosomal RNA". The record is from RNAcentral. Lineage: Eukaryota; Viridiplantae; Streptophyta; Magnoliopsida; Poales; Poaceae.
CUUCGUAAGGGAGUUGUGUUGACCAAAAACAACCUCACACGACGCAACUGUCCAGGGAGUAAGAAGUGUUGUUUUUGUACUCAUGACGAGACAAUCAAACACCUCUUUUUCCAAUGCAAGUUUGCACGUUCUACGUGGUCAAUCAUCCAAAUAGCGUCAAAUUUAUAUCCGCCCACAAGUGUUGCCAAUAUAUUUGGUCACUGGUUGGACGGUAUUCCAAAUAUGUUUAAAGCGCUUAUAAGGGUGGGGGCGUACGCCUUAAUUUGGUCGCUCUGGCUAUGUAGAAACGAUUUGGUUUUUAAUGGAAAAAUGCUUCUCCUCUGCAGGUUAUUUUCCGUUGUACGCAAUCGCUUCAUACAUGGUCUAUGCUACAACGAUCGGAGCACCAAUCGCUGUUCAAGGCGGUAUGUACGCGGUUGA